CUACGGGGGGCUGCAGUGAGGAAUAUUGCACAAUGGGGGGAACCCUGAUGCAGCAACGCCGCGUGGAGGAUGACGCAUUUCGGUGUGUAAACUCCUUUUAUAUGUCAAGAAAAUGACGGUAGCAUAUGAAUAAGCACCGGCUAACUCCGUGCCAGCAGCUGCGGUAAUACGGAGGGUGCAAGCGUUACUCGGAAUCACUGGGCGUAAAGGACGCGUAGGCGGGUUGGAAAGUCAGGUGUGAAAUCCUACAGCUUAACUGUAGAACUGCACUUGAAACUUCUAAUCUAGAGUAUGGGAGGGGGAGAUGGAAUUAGUGGUGUAGGGGUAAAAUCCGUAGACAUCACUAGGAAUACCUAAAGCGAAGGCGAUCUCCUGGAACAUUACUGACGCUAAGGCGUGAAAGCGUGGGGAGCAAACAGGAUUAGAUACCCGUGUAGUC
This 439-nucleotide ribosomal RNA is filed under the name uncultured bacterium. RNAcentral's name for it is "partial 16S ribosomal RNA". It matches the Rfam family "Bacterial small subunit ribosomal RNA", at positions 339 to 795 of the family's 1533-position model. The record is from RNAcentral.